UACGUAGGGUGCGAGCGUUAAUCGGAAUUACUGGGCGUAAAGGGUGCGUAGGCGGUCGGGUAAGUCUGACGUGAAAUCUUCGAGCCUAACUCGGAAACUGCGUCGGAUACUAUUCGGCUAGAGGAUCGGAGGGGAGACUGGAAUACUUGGUGUAGCAGUGAAAUGCGUAGAUAUCAAGUGGAACACCAGUGGCGAAGGCGAGUCUCUGGACGAUUCCUGACACUGAGGCACGAAAGCCAGGGGAGCAAACGGG
RNAcentral lists this ribosomal RNA (253 nucleotides) under uncultured bacterium. Its description in RNAcentral is "partial 16S ribosomal RNA". It matches the Rfam family "Bacterial small subunit ribosomal RNA", at positions 524 to 776 of the family's 1533-position model. The record is from RNAcentral.